GAUGAACGCUAGCUAUAGGCUUAACACAUGCAAGUCGAACGAGACCUUCGGGUCUAGUGGCGCACGGGUGCGUAACGCGUGGGAAUCUGCCCUUGGGUUCGGAAUAACUCGCCGAAAGGCGUGCUAAUACCGGAUGAUGUCGUAAGACCAAAGAUUUAUCGCCCAGGGAUGAGCCCGCGUAAGAUUAGGUAGUUGGUGAGGUAAAGGCUCACCAAGCCGACGAUCUUUAGCUGGUCUGAGAGGAUGAUCAGCCACACUGGGACUGAGACACGGCCCAG
RNAcentral lists this ribosomal RNA (278 nucleotides) under uncultured bacterium. Its description in RNAcentral is "partial 16S ribosomal RNA". It matches the Rfam family "Bacterial small subunit ribosomal RNA", at positions 28 to 334 of the family's 1533-position model. The record is from RNAcentral.